GACAGAGGGUGCAACCGUUGUUCGGAAUUACUGGGCGUAAAGCGCGUGUAGGCGGCUGCGCAAGUCGGAUGUGAAAUCCCAUGGCUCAACCAUGGAAGUGCACCCGAAACUGCGUCGCUAGAGUCCUGGAGAGGAAGGUGGAAUGCUUGGUGUAGAGGUGAAAUUCGUAGAUAUCAAGCGGAACACCGGUGGCGAAGGCGGCCUUCUGGACAGUGACUGACGCUGAGACGCGAAAGCGUGGGGAGCAAACAGG
Molecule: ribosomal RNA, 253 nt
Filed under: uncultured bacterium
Lineage: Bacteria
Description: partial 16S ribosomal RNA
Rfam family: Bacterial small subunit ribosomal RNA
Source: RNAcentral